ACUGCUUCUUGGCUUUUUGGAUAAGAACAAGUGCAGUACCUGUUUUUAUCAGAUUAACAUCUAAUGUAUCCUCUAUCUAAGGACAAUAUACUAAACAGAUUUUUGGAGUAGGGAGGUGGAAUAGGAGUUGCUUCGUCUACUUCACACAUUGAUCUGAUCUUGCAGUAACUCCAGAAAUGGUGCAUGCUCU
Molecule: small nuclear RNA, 190 nt
Organism: Fukomys damarensis (Damara mole-rat)
Lineage: Eukaryota; Metazoa; Chordata; Mammalia; Rodentia; Bathyergidae
Gene: U2
Rfam family: U2 spliceosomal RNA
About the family: U2 is a small nuclear RNA (snRNA) component of the spliceosome (involved in pre-mRNA splicing). Complementary binding between U2 snRNA (in an area lying towards the 5' end but 3' to hairpin I) and the branchpoint sequence (BPS) of the intron results the bulging out of an unpaired adenosine, on the BPS, which initiates a nucleophilic attack at the intronic 5' splice site, thus starting the first of two transesterification reactions that mediate splicing.
Source: Ensembl